AGUGGCGCACGGGUGAGUAACACGUACACAACCUGCCUUAUACUGGAGCAUACCCCCAGGAAACUGGGACUAAUUCUCCAUAACGUUAUGAAGCGGCAUCGCUUUAUAACUAAAACUCUGGUGGUAUAAGAUGGGUGUGCGUCUGAUUAGCUAGUUGGCGAGGUAAAGGCUCACCAAGGCAACGAUCAGUAACUGGUCUGAGAGGAUGAUCAGUCACACGGGCACUGAGACACUGCCCAGACACCUACGGGUGGCUGCAGUCGAGAAUCUUCGGCAAUGGGCGCAAGCCUGACCGAGCGACGCCGCGUGCGGGAUGAAGGCCCUCGGGUUGUAAACCGCUGUCGUAGGGGAGGAAAUUGGCGGGGGUACUCCCCCGUCAUUGACCUAUCCUAGGAGGAAGUCCGGGCUAAGUUCGUGCCAGCAGCCGCGGUAAGACGAACCGGACAAACGUUAUUCGGAAUUACUGGGCUUAAAGGGUACGUAGGCGGUCCGGUAAGUGGGGUGUGAAAUCCCUCGGCUCAACCGAGGAACUGCGCCCCAUACUGCCGGACUUGAGGGAGACAGAGGUAAGCGGAACUGAUGGUGGAGCGGUGAAAUGCGUUGAUAUCAUCAGAACACCGGUGGCGAAAGCGGCUUACUGGGUCUCUUCUGACGCUGAGUACGAAAGCUAGGGAGCGAACGGGAUAGAUACCCCGGUAGUCCUAGCUGUAACAUGAGCACUUGAUCGA
This 728-nucleotide ribosomal RNA is filed under the name uncultured bacterium. Its description in RNAcentral is "bacterial SSU rRNA". It matches the Rfam family "Bacterial small subunit ribosomal RNA", at positions 94 to 824 of the family's 1533-position model. The record is from RNAcentral.